Molecule: ribosomal RNA, 253 nt
Filed under: uncultured bacterium
Lineage: Bacteria
Description: partial 16S ribosomal RNA
Rfam family: Bacterial small subunit ribosomal RNA
Source: RNAcentral
GACGAACCGUGCGAACGUUGUUCGGAAUCACUGGGCUUAAAGGGCGCGUAGGCGGGUCUUCAAGUCAGGGGUGAAAGCCUCCGGCUCAACCGGAGCAGUGCUUUUGAUACUGGAGAUCUCGAGGGAGGUAGGGGCAUGUGGAACUCAGGGUGGAGCGGUGAAAUGCGUAGAGAUCGGGAGGAACACCCGUGGCGAAGGCGGCCACCUGGGCCGACCCUGACGCUGAGGCGCGAAGGCGUGGGGAGCGAACGGG